This 253-nucleotide ribosomal RNA is filed under the name uncultured bacterium. RNAcentral's name for it is "partial 16S ribosomal RNA". It matches the Rfam family "Bacterial small subunit ribosomal RNA", at positions 524 to 776 of the family's 1533-position model. The record is from RNAcentral.
UACAGAGGGUGCGAGCGUUGUUCGGAAUUAUUGGGCGUAAAGGGCGCGUAGGCGGUGCGGUAAGUCACCUGUGAAAUCUCCUGGCUCAACUGGGAGCUUGCAGGCGAAACUGCCGUGCUGGAGUGUGGGAGAGGUGCGUGGAAUUCCCGGUGUAGCGGUGAAAUGCGUAGAUAUCAGGAGGAACACCUGUGGUGUAGACGGCUUUCUGGACCAUAGCUGACGCUGAGACACGAAAGCGUGGGUAGCAAACAGG